RNAcentral lists this ribosomal RNA (253 nucleotides) under uncultured bacterium. RNAcentral describes it as "partial 16S ribosomal RNA". It matches the Rfam family "Bacterial small subunit ribosomal RNA", at positions 524 to 776 of the family's 1533-position model. The record is from RNAcentral.
UACGUAGGGGGCGAGCGUUGUCCGGAUUUAUUGGGCGUAAAGGGCACGUAGGCGGCCAUUCAAGUCGAUCGUGAAAGCUCGGGGCUCAACCCCGAGAUUGCGGUCGAUACUGGAUGGCUAGAGGCUGGUAGGGGGGUGUGGAAUUCCCGGUGUAGCGGUGGAAUGCGCAGAUAUCGGGAGGAACACCGGUGGCGAAGGCGGCACCCUGGGCCAGUCCUGACGCUGAUGUGCGAAAGCGUGGGGAGCAAACAGG